Long non-coding RNA from Rattus norvegicus (Norway rat), 1813 nucleotides. RefSeq lists it as uncharacterized. The record is from RefSeq and is a predicted model, not a curated record. NCBI's taxonomy places the organism in Eukaryota, Metazoa, Chordata, Mammalia, Rodentia, Muridae.
GUGCUGCUUAAAUAGUACACAGCACUCUCUUGCUUCUAUAUUAGGAAAGACUAGAUUCCAAGAGCAAACUGGGCCCGGGGGACGUGCACUCUCUCCUUUUGAAAUGGUAGACAUGGAACCCAUUACACACUAGAAGACUGGGAAAAGAUUCUCAACCUGAUGGUUAUGAUGCUGGACCCCUUUGAUCUGACUACAUUUGAAGACUCUCACUUAUUUACGAGAGAGAAACCGCCCUCAAGCCCACUUGACUCCGGAAGAAAGAGACAAGGAAAACAGAGGCCUCACCUCAAAUCACAGUCUGUACCACACGCUUCAGUGACAGGUCCUGGCUGGGGCAGCCGGUCACAUCUUUGAUCAGAAACGGGAGAUUAAGAAAUGCCCAGGAAAGAAGAAAAGAUUGUCAGCAGACUCUGCUUGAGGAGCAGAGCCUUACCAUAAUGGACCGUGUUAAAUGUUCCCGCCACUGUUUUGCAUGAAGAAUUAUCGCCACCACAAAUCCCACAUUUAUCUUUCCGGGCCUUUGAGUUUAAAAUAUGAUCACAUCCAGCUUGCUUUUUAAAAGAAAAACAAUUGAAAUAAGUGAUGAUGAAAGUUCCAGAAGCUAGGAUGUCUAUUGUUCCCUGCUAAGCUAUUACUCUGGAAAGCUGUACUUUGAAUUAAUUUUUUAGGACCCAGCCCUGGGGAAGAGAGAAGAUGAGCUGACUUUAUCCUCAACUUAAUUCAAAACCAACUUCAUAAAUAAAAUUUGACAGGUACUUUUCACAUCCUCUGUUUCCUUUCAUCGUAGCCACCUUGAGAGAUGAGUCAUGAAAAUCUGUUUGGGUCAUGACCUCAAGUUUGGCGUUGGAAAGUGGAGUCACUCAGAGGGCUGAAUUCAGGGUCCAUCAAGCAACCCACUGUCUCUCAGAAGCAAGAGGCUUCCAGGCUUUACCCUGGAAGGGUUUGGGGCAGUUUUCCCCAGAUGACUUGACUGAUCUCAGGGGAAACACUUGUUUUGUUUUGCUUUGUUUUUAGUUCCCUAUGUAUAAAAUCAGUUAAGGGAGAAUAAAAUUCUGUCAUUGAUUUCUUAGUUCUCCUUCCAAGAAAACAGCCUGGAUAUCAUUAAAUCUACAAGGUAAAGUAGAGGCAUAGGAACUCAGAUGUUCAAAACUGUUCAAAGGGAAUAGUAAAAUAAAAUAAAAUAAAUGGGAAGACAGAGAAAAGGCAAGAAAUGAAAGGAAGGAUAAGAGUUUUGGAAAUAGUGCCCACAGAUUGCAUCCAGGCUGAGUGACACAAGCCCACGUGGACCUAGCACUAAGACUUUUCCUUCAGCAGACAGUUGGGUGUGAUGAGGAAAUGGAGGGACCACUGUCAUUGUUCAUAGGCACAUGCCAGGUGCUGAAGGUCAGAUCAAUCAUACUCCUAAGGGCACGGAGCCCUGUUAUGACUGGCCCAAACAGUGUGUUUUUGUUGAGAUAUUAACGAACUUGUUGGAAUCAUUAAAACUAAAACCAGCUCAUGAGAACCUGGGUUAAGAUAUGUCCCAGGUAGCAUCAUGGAACUAUAUAAAAGAAAACAACAUACUCGGUAAGAAGCCUGGGAAAAUAGCAAUGAAGACACCAGGCUAGCAGGGUCAUGGUGUUUCUUUGAUUCUAAUAGGCUCAACUGUAAUAGCUUUCCAGAGCCCUUCUCAGAAGAGAGAUUAAGUGGCUUAUAUGUUAAAAUUGUUUCACACCGGGUUGGGGAUUUAGCUCAGUGGUAGAGCGCUUGCCUAGGAAGCGCAAGGCCCUGGGUUCGAUCCCCAGCUCCGAAAAAAAAGAACCAAAAAAAAAAU